RNAcentral lists this ribosomal RNA (253 nucleotides) under uncultured bacterium. RNAcentral's name for it is "partial 16S ribosomal RNA". It matches the Rfam family "Bacterial small subunit ribosomal RNA", at positions 524 to 776 of the family's 1533-position model. The record is from RNAcentral.
UACAGAGGGGGCAAGCGUUAUUCGGAAUUAUUGGGCGUAAAGGGCGCGUAGGCGGUUCUUCAAGUCUCUCGUGAAAUCCCUCGGCUUAACUGAGGACGUGCGGGAGAUACUGAAGGGCUUGAGUCCGGAAGAGGGUGGUGGAAUUCCCAGUGUAGCGGUGAAAUGCGUAGAUAUGACCCGGAACACCGAUUGCGAAGGCAGCCCACUAAGCAACUAUUGACGCUGAGGCACGAAAGCGUGGGGAUCAAACAGG